Molecule: ribosomal RNA, 748 nt
Filed under: uncultured Peptoniphilus sp.
Lineage: Bacteria; Bacillati; Bacillota; Tissierellia; Tissierellales; Peptoniphilaceae
Description: bacterial SSU rRNA
Rfam family: Bacterial small subunit ribosomal RNA
Source: RNAcentral
GACGAACGCUGGCGGCGCGCUUAACACAUGCAAGUCGAGCGAUGAAAUUUCGACAGAUCCCUUCGGGGUGAAGAUGAAAUGGAUUAGCGGCGGACGGGUGAGUAACACGUGAGUAACCUGCCUUAGACAUUGGGAUAGCCUCGGGAAACCGGGAUUAAUACCAAAUGAAAUCACAUAUGCACAUGCAUAAAUGAUCAAAGCUCCGGCGGUCUAAGAUGGACUCGCGUCCCAUUAGCUAGUUGGUGAGGUAACGGCCCACCAAGGCGACGAUGGGUAGCCGGCCUGAGAGGGUGAACGGCCACAUUGGAACUGAGAAACGGUCCAAACUCCUACGGGAGGCAGCAGUGGGGAAUAUUGCACAAUGGAGGGAACUCUGAUGCAGCGACGCCGCGUGAACGAAGAAGGCUUUCGAGUCGUAAAGUUCUUUUAUAUGGGAAGAUAAUGACGGUACCAUAAGAAAAAGCCCCGGCUAACUACGUGCCAGCAGCCGCGGUAAUACGUAGGGGGCUAGCGUUGUCCGGAAUCACUGGGCGUAAAGGGUUCGCAGGCGGAAAUGCAAGUCAGGUGUAAAAGGCAGUAGCUUAACUACUGUAAGCAUUUGAAACUGCAUAUCUUGAGAAGAGUAGAGGUAAGUGGAAUUUUUAGUGUAGCGGUGAAAUGCGUGGAUAUUAAAAAGAAUACCGGUGGCGAAGGCGACUUACUGGGCUCAUUCUGACGCUGAGGAACGAAGGCGUGGGUAGCAAACAGG